Pogona vitticeps (central bearded dragon) is the source of this 478-nucleotide non-coding RNA. Lineage: Eukaryota; Metazoa; Chordata; Lepidosauria; Squamata; Agamidae. The record is from RefSeq and is a predicted model, not a curated record.
GUAUAAAAGAGAAGACUAUUAAAAGUAACUUUCUGUACUUAGUCCUCCACGGAUGUGAGCGAGAGCUGCAGAGAGAAACUUUUGGAAUCUACAAGAAUCCGGCUACAGAACCAGUGCUUUAAAGCUGCUGAAAAUCUGCGUUUUCAGUUCCAUUUUGAUACGGAUACUGCUGAAUUAGUCCCUGAGAUGGUUCAUUUCCUUGACGACACUUAUAACAUCGUGACAGCAGAGCUAGAGUUGUUACUGGCCAACUGUGAAGCCCGGCAGAAGGCUUCCAGAAGCACAUCAGGCCUGAGCUGAGAGAGUGAUGUCACGAGAGUGAUGUCUUAGGCGACUUGCUCGGUGCCCUCAUCGCACAAGAUUCGGAGAACAGUAUGCCGACAGUGUGUGCAAGGCUGAGCGGGCAGCUGCUCCCAAAGACGCUUCGGACACGGAUUUGGAUGGAGAGGCUCCUGAGGGCCGGCUCGGGGAGCUGCAA